GUAUUCAAGGGGAUCAGCGAGUAUUAUCCCGGCCCAUCUUUAAAUCCCCAGUUUUCCCUAAUUAACCAUUUGGUACUGGAGUUUUGGCCAAAACAAUCCCCGGUCAUCCCCGGAAAACCCCAUCCCCGAUCCGUUUUUGCCUUGCAGGCAAUCCCCUACCCACACCUCGCGUAUUAUCCCCGUCCCCAUUCAAACCCUGUGCACGCAAGCGAGCGGCGGCGACGGGAUCGGAGCUGCAGGGCGGGCGGAGCAUCUAACCGGCGAAUACAAGGAUGGAUCUCUCCGAGCUGCUUCACAACGCCGCCGCCGUUGUUGGAAUUUGACCGGCGAUGCCACUUCCCGUCGGUUAUGUGCUCCGAUCUGGGUUUUUCUCUUCUACAAGUGUGACAGUUAAGGUUGCUCUCUUGCUUGAGGUUUUGCAGCAGAAACUCUUGGAACCAAAGAGCUGAAGCUUGAAAUCUACUUUAUGGUUAUACUAAGAAGUAACGAAAACACAUACUGUGCUUAGUGCUUAGAAGUUUUUUGAUCAUCCAUCUUGUGCUUGUUUCUCAAAGCAGAAAGUGUAUAUCCAUCUUGUGAGAAAUAUGUGCAUACCAUCAACUUAUGCUUGUUCAUGGAAACUGAAAAGUGAAAACAUAAACUGAAUAUUCUUCUGCAUUUUUGCAUGAAGUUUCUUCCAUGUGAAAAUAAUUAAUCUGGUUCAUUGAAUUUCAGGUCAAGUUUCUUCUUGUACCUUUGAUCGGUAGUUAUUUGUGUUGGACUGCAGGGCAUCAUCCACCCAUCAUUUUGAAAUGUACCCGCAGCUGCUAAUUGGCAAGUAUGAGUUUGGACAUGAUGUAUGCGAUGCCUAUGUGGUCUUGUUUUUGCAACGGCAAUGCUUCCAUGUAAUCUGAAUUUAGUACUUUUGUCCAGUCAGGGACCCGUCUAAUGUUAGCUAAAUGGAACAUGUGAUGGGCUUCAUGUUAUUUAAAUCAACGUGUGUAAUUGUUAUUUAGAUGGGCUUGUAGUAUUUUUGUGACUGAAUCGAAAGUGGCUUCGUGUUAUGACUGAAUCUGAAGUUUCAGUUCAAAGUUGACGUGUGGCCUAUGACAUAAAAAAUCAGAUCUUUGCUAACGUU
Molecule: long non-coding RNA, 1117 nt
Organism: Lolium rigidum
Lineage: Eukaryota; Viridiplantae; Streptophyta; Magnoliopsida; Poales; Poaceae
Exons: 2
Source: RefSeq, a predicted model, not a curated record